GUGGGUAUACCUCAGUGGUAGAGCAUGUGAUUAGCAUGCAUGAGGUCCUGGGUUCAACUCCCAGUACCUCUG
This 72-nucleotide transfer RNA is filed under the name Camelus bactrianus (Bactrian camel). It matches the Rfam family "tRNA". From Rfam's summary of the family: Transfer RNA (tRNA) molecules are approximately 80 nucleotides in length. Their secondary structure includes four short double-helical elements and three loops (D, anti-codon, and T loops). Lineage: Eukaryota; Metazoa; Chordata; Mammalia; Artiodactyla; Camelidae. The record is from Rfam by way of RNAcentral. RNAcentral also lists the same sequence under 1 other name.